AGAAACAGAACCGAGCACUCUUCUUGGGCCACAUCAAACAGCUGCGUCAUUGUACCUACCAUUACCAACCAUACAUACAUAUCAUCAUCUCAUCUCAUCCUUCCCUCAAUCAAUAUCAAACAUACCAAUGUUCAUUGCAGGUGGAAGAGUGAACUGAAUCAUCAGCACAAACCGAAACAGCGGAUCCCUAGGCACCAACCCUAAAUGCGCGGCUGUGAGCACAACGCCUAUCCCAAUAAUAGGAAGUAACACGUAUUUCACAACGAUCACGGCCACUAUGAGCAGGGGGCUCAGCUUGGCCUUGCGCAGCCCUGCACAUGAAUCAAGCUUGUUCGGUUCUUGCCUUAUCUUAUAACAAAAGGAGGGAGAAAACUGUACCUAGCAUGAGGUUUCCUCCGAGUAUGAGGGUGAUGCAAGGAAUGGUUCCGUCCCUACAAAAACACGAGCCUGUUAGCGUUAGUUGAGAAGCGAGUGGCUGUGAAUAUGAAGGAACGUACCCGAGCAAUGAUAUAGAGUCGGAUAUGACUCCCAGCGGGGCGCUCUCACCAAUCAUAACGUCCCGGAGCCAUGUCACGGCCCCGAAUAUGAAUCCUAAAAUCUGAAAUUGGCUACUUUCAGCAUUGCACAGAUACGGAUAUAUCGAGUAAUGGAAAAGGCUAACUCACAGCAGCAACCACUGGAGGAGACAUUAGCUCAUCUCCUACUUGAUGCAAAAUCCCCAUCACUUGACUCCAUCGCUUCACCUCAAUCUUCAAACAACAAAAUUUCCAUUUUCACAUUCAAGGAGUUUUUUUAUGUUUCUUGAAACCUCAUUCUACUCACAGUUUGGAGUUGGGAGGGUGCAUGCUCUGCUCCAUUUAGAAGAAGUGACUUCUCGUUCGCCUCCAAAUCCUGGUUAGCCUGCUUUUUAGGAUCCUCAGCUUCGAGAGAUGCUCUGUAUAUAACCCCAGCGCUUCGUAUCAAGUGGAACGUGUAAGUCCAUAUGUAGAAGGCGCCAACCUAUGAUUCCACCAACAAGAAACAGACAUGUAUUCGAGUUGAGAGAGCAGAAUCAGACAUAUUAAUAAAGUGAAAGAGUUAGAUGAAAUGAGAAAUCUUACAGCCAUUGAAUAAGAAACAUAUGAAAGUCCGAUUGUGGAGCAGACAUUGGCAUCUCCGAAUGGACUGCCGUUUUCCUUGCAGAUUGCAGGGAUGAUGAUCAACAGAAUGUUCCCCAAGUUUCCUAUUUCACUAGUGUUAGUUUCUCCAAAAACACUCUAGUCAAGGAAUUAUAGAUUAGGACAACAACCUGCUGAACAAAUGGCUAAGAUGAGAUUUCGUAUAUGUGGUUCUGGUCUAAGUAUUUUAACCACGAUCCAUCCAAAACUCGCUCCAAACAAGAACGUUAACCCGAUGUUCACAGGCAUGAACCACCUGCAACCAACAAUUUCUCAAACAUUCAUCUAAAAUGCAAGUUUCUCAUCACAAACACUAAUUCAUUCCUAGUACCAUACCAUGAGAUGAUCUCUUGGAAGUUGACACUCUUUGCGAGGCUUAUAAACACGAGUGAUGGAGUGAAGGCCACAUACACAAUCUGCAUUGCAUUGCAUUGCAUUGUUCACACACGCUCAAAACACACUUUCUCGAAUCACAAAUUAAUUGAUAUUCAUUCAAAAACAAACAACCUACUUUGUUCAUGUACUUUCUGGCAUCAGGUGGGAGGAGCUUGAGGUAAUCAGUUGCCAUGAAAGCUCCAAGCNAAUUUUUGUUCAAAUUAAAGCUGACGUGGCAAGUCGAAAUAUCGACAUGUAUUCAUCGGACGUUUUAAAAAAAUGACAUCAUAUAGGACAUCUCUAAAAGAUAUCGUAUAAGACAUCUCUAAACCCGUAAAUCGUAAGAUUUUUAUGGAGUUUGAAUAUCGAAUACUUGAAUUUGUGAUAAAAUUGCUACAACAUUAAAGUUCAUGUAUUUUUUUACACCUUUCAAAAUUCAUGUGCAAAACCAAACUACCCCAAAGUUGGUGUAUUUAAGCGCCAAUAACCCUUAAUUUUUUUUAAAAAUGCAUAUAUCAUUUUGGCUCUUAAAUUUUUAUAAUAGAAUGGGCAAAAUAACCCAAUUAGUUGUUGGAGAGACCCAACCUCAAAUAGGAGUUUUUUUUUUUCGACGCAAAUACAUCAUAAAAUGAGCUGGUGGUGCAACCCCGACCAGCAUAAUACAAAGCCCUUUAACCAAAUUUGUCAUCACUAACCCAACAACCCAUUUCGAAACUUCUACUCUCACCUCCACCUCUAACCAUAAUCACUUUAUUGGACUCCAAAUUAAGUAAAUUAGCUGUCGACCUAACAUUUAAACAAGAUAUUGUAUCUUAUCAAAUUUUAACAUCUAAACAAUAAUUUUUGAAUACUUGAAUUUGCAUCUUCAACAAUCCAUUCCUCCACAUUGUAGGACACGAUACAUGUGUAAUAGCCCAUUAGGAUGCAUCAGAGAACAAUACAAUUAGGCACGAGGUCACAAUCUUGAUGAUGCUUUGUUUGAGGGUUUAGGUCAAGAUCCACAUGAAGACGGUGGACCAGCCGGUAAGAGCAAUGGCUGCAGCCAGAUAAGUCCACAGAAACAGAACCGAGCACUCUUCUUGGGCCACAUCAAACAGCUGCGUCAUUGUACCUACCAUUACCAACCAUACAUACAUAUCAUCAUCUCAUCUCAUCCUUCCCUCAAUCAAUAUCAAACAUACCAAUGUUCAUUGCAGGUGGAAGACUGAACUGAAUCAUCAGCACGAACCGAAACAGCGGAUCCCUAGGCACCAACCCUAAAUGCGCGGCUGUGAGCACAACGCCUAUCCCAAUAAUAGGAAGUAACACGUAUUUCACAACGAUCACGGCCACUAUGAGCAGCGGGCUCAGCUUGGCCUUGCGCAGCCCUGCACAUGAAUCAAGCUUGUUCGG
RNAcentral lists this long non-coding RNA (2924 nucleotides) under Salvia miltiorrhiza (redroot sage). Its description in RNAcentral is "long non-coding RNA (SMIL_LNC005306)". Lineage: Eukaryota; Viridiplantae; Streptophyta; Magnoliopsida; Lamiales; Lamiaceae. The record is from RNAcentral.